Molecule: ribosomal RNA, 837 nt
Filed under: uncultured archaeon
Lineage: Archaea
Description: bacterial SSU rRNA
Rfam family: Archaeal small subunit ribosomal RNA
Source: RNAcentral
GGUCACUGCUAUCGGUGUUCGUCUAAGCCAUGCGAGUCAUAUGUUCUUUGGAACAUGGCGUACUGCUCAGUAACACGUGGAUAACCUGCCCUUGGGUCCGGCAUAACCCCGGGAAACUGGGGAUAAUACCGGAUAACGCAUAUAUGCUGGAAUUCUUUAUGCGUGAAAUGGAUUCGUCUGCCCAAGAAUGGGUCUGCGGCCUAUCAGGUAGUAGUGGGUGUAAUGUACCUACUAGCCGACGACGGGUACGGGUUGUGAGAGCAAGAGCCCGGAGAUGGAUUCUGAGACAUGAAUCCAGGCCCUACGGGGCGCAGCAGGCGCGAAAACUUUACAAUGCGGGAAACCGUGAUAAGGGGACACCGAGUGCCAGCAUCAUAUGCUGGCUGUCCGGGUGUGUAAAAUACACCUGUUAGCAAGGGCCGGGCAAGACCGGUGCCAGCCGCCGCGGUAACACCGGCGGCCCGAGUGGUGAUCGUGAUUAUUGGGUCUAAAGGGUCCGUAGCCGGUUUGGUCAGUCCUCCGGGAAAUCUGACGGCUUAACCGUUAGGCUUUCGGGGGAUACUGCCAGACUUGGAACCGGGAGAGGUAAGAGGUACUACAGGGGUAGGAGUGAAAUCUUGUAAUCCCUGUGGGACCACCUGUGGCGAAGGCGUCUUACCAGAACGGGUUCGACGGUGAGGGACGAAAGCUGGGGGCACGAACCGGAUUAGAUACCCGGGUAGUCCCAGCCGUAACCGAUGCACACUAGGUGACAGGCAUGGCGCGACUGUGUCUGGUGCCGCAGGGAAGCCGUGAAGCGAGCCACCUGGGAAGUGCGGCCGCAAGGCUGAAACUGAA